RNAcentral lists this unclassified non-coding RNA (334 nucleotides) under soil metagenome. RNAcentral's name for it is "partial contains 5.8S ribosomal RNA, internal transcribed spacer 2, and large subunit ribosomal RNA". The stretch from base 2 to 120 matches the Rfam family "5.8S ribosomal RNA", at positions 36 to 154 of the family's 154-position model. The record is from RNAcentral.
UAUGAAGAACGCAGCGAAAUGCGAUAAGUAGUGUGAAUUGCAGAAUUCAGUGAAUCAUCGAAUCUUUGAACGCACAUUGCGCCCUUUGGUAUUCCUUAGGGCAUGCCUGUUCGAGCGUCAUUUAAACCUUCAAGCUCAGCUUGGUGUUGGGUGACUGUCCGCUUCACCGCGGACUCGCCUCAAAAUUAUUGGCGGCCGGUACAUUGGCUCUCGAGCGCAGCAGAAACGCGUAACUCGAGGUCCUCGUGCUGGCUCCCAGAAGCUAUCUUCACAAUUUUGACCUCGGAUCAGGUAGGGAUACCCGCUGAACUUAAGCAUAUCAAUAAGCGGAGGA